AUUGAACGCUGGCGGCAGGCUUAACACAUGCAAGUCGAGCGGAGAUGAGGUGCUUGCACCUUAUCUUAGCGGCGGACGGGUGAGUAAUGUUUAGGAAUCUGCCUAUUAGUGGGGGACAACAUUCCGAAAGGAAUGCUAAUACCGCAUACGUCCUACGGGAGAAAGCAGGGGAUCUUCGGACCUUGCGCUAAUAGAUGAGCCUAAGUCGGAUUAGCUAGUUGGUGGGGUAAAGGCCUACCAAGGCGACGAUCUGUAGCGGGUCUGAGAGGAUGAUCCGCCACACUGGGACUGAGACACGGCCCAGACUCCUACGGGAGGCAGCAGUGGGGAAUAUUGGACAAUGGGGGAAACCCUGAUCCAGCCAUGCCGCGUGUGUGAAGAAGGCCUUAUGGUUGUAAAGCACUUUAAGCGAGGAGGAGGCUACUGAGACUAAUACUCUUGGAUAGUGGACGUUACUCGCAGAAUAAGCACCGGCUAACUCUGUGCCAGCCGCCGCUGUAA
RNAcentral lists this ribosomal RNA (501 nucleotides) under uncultured bacterium. RNAcentral's name for it is "partial 16S ribosomal RNA". It matches the Rfam family "Bacterial small subunit ribosomal RNA", at positions 30 to 523 of the family's 1533-position model. The record is from RNAcentral.